CUCUCACAAGAGACAACCUCAGAAGCUUGUAAUGAGUACGUUAAGCAAGCAGAUUCAUCUCAAGGCAAUAUAUAUGCUUAUAACACAUAUUCCCAGCUAUGCAACUCCUCUGCCUAUACUUCCCUUCCUGUAAGUUCGAAUGGCUAACUGCUCAUUCAUUAUUGAGGAAACAGAUAUAUUUGUAACCAAUUUUAUACACAUUUAAGUGCCCAAGGUUGAGGAUCAUGGUGAGAAAAAAGAAGACCACACAGCAUUCUGCACCCCAACAGGCACACCUCUCUGUAGAUUUUACAUGCCUUCUAUUAAGUUUUGUGAUGGAAACUUUUUCUUUUGUCUAUAACAGAUAUCUGGAUUUGAUCCAUGCUCAGCUAAUUAUGUAGACAAUUACCUAAACAAUGCUGAAGUACAAAAGGCAUUUAAUGUCAAAGAUAUACCCCAGUCCUGGGAUUCUUGCAAUGGUUUCAUAUUCGGCUCUUGGCAGGACUCCCCACAUACUAUUCUACCAGUCUUUCAAGAGCUCAUGCAAACUGGCAUUAGGGUUUGGAUUUAUAGAAUUUCAGCGGAGACAUAGGUCAUGUGUUAUCUGUAACGACAAGUAGAUAUGCCAUAGACAAAAUAGAAACACCAGUC
Molecule: long non-coding RNA, 630 nt
Organism: Solanum dulcamara
Lineage: Eukaryota; Viridiplantae; Streptophyta; Magnoliopsida; Solanales; Solanaceae
Exons: 3
Source: RefSeq, a predicted model, not a curated record